This 492-nucleotide ribosomal RNA is filed under the name uncultured bacterium. Its description in RNAcentral is "partial 16S ribosomal RNA". It matches the Rfam family "Bacterial small subunit ribosomal RNA", at positions 29 to 507 of the family's 1533-position model. The record is from RNAcentral.
AGUGAACGCUGGCGGUAGGCCUAACACAUGCAAGUCGAGCGGCAGCACAGUAAGAGCUUGCUCUUACGGGUGGCGAGUGGCGGACGGGUGAGGAAUACAUCGGAAUCUGCUUCUUCGUGGGGGAUAACGUAGGGAAACUUACGCUAAUACCGCAUACGACCUACGGGUGAAAGCAGGGGAUCUUCGGACCUUGCGCGAUUGAAUGAGCCGAUGUCGGAUUAGCUAGUUGGCGGGGUAAAGGCCCACCAAGGCGACGAUCCGUAGCUGGUCUGAGAGGAUGAUCAGCCACACUGGAACUGAGACACGGUCCAGACUCCUACGGGAGGCAGCAGUGGGGAAUAUUGGACAAUGGGCGCAAGCCUGAUCCAGCCAUACCGCGUGGGUGAAGAAGGCCUUCGGGUUGUAAAGCCCUUUUGUUGGGAAAGAAAAGCAGCAGGUUAAUACCCCGCUGUUCUGACGGUACCCAAAGAAUAAGCACCGGCUAACUUCGUG